GACGAACGCUGGCGGCGUGCUUAACACAUGCAAGUCGAACGGAAAGGCCCUGCUUUUGUGGGGUGCUCGAGUGGCGAACGGGUGAGUAACACGUGAGUAACCUGCCCUUUAGUUUGGGAUAACUUCAGGAAACUGGGGCUAAUACCGGAUAGGAGCUCCUGCUGCAUGGUGUGGGUUGGAAAGUUUCGGCGGUUGGGGAUGGACUCGCGGCUUCUCAGCUUGUUGGUGGGGGAGUGGCUUACCAAGGCUUUGACGGGUAGCCGGCCUGAGAGGGUGACCGGCCACAUUGGGACUGAGAUACGGCCCAGAGUGCUACGGGAGGCAGCAGUGGGGAAUAUUGCACAAUGGGCGGAAGCCGGAUGCAGCAACGCCGCGUGCGGGAUGACGGCCUUCGGGUUGUAAACCGCUUUCGCCUGUGACGAAGCGUGAGUGACGGUAAUGUGUAAAGAAGCACCGGCUAACUACGUG
RNAcentral lists this ribosomal RNA (468 nucleotides) under uncultured bacterium. RNAcentral describes it as "partial 16S ribosomal RNA". It matches the Rfam family "Bacterial small subunit ribosomal RNA", at positions 28 to 507 of the family's 1533-position model. The record is from RNAcentral.